CGUGUAGGCGGUUGGUCAAGUCUGGUGUGAAAGCCCGGGGCUUAGCCCCGGAAGUGCGCUGGAAACUAGCCAACUUGAGCGCGAUAGAGGAGGGUGGAAUUCCUGGUGUAGCGGUGAAAUGCGUAGAUAUCAGGAGGAACACCGGCGGCGAAGGCGGCCCUCUGGGUCGUUGCUGACGCUGAGACGCGAAAGCGUGGGGAGCAAACAGGAUUAGAUACCCUGGUAGUCCACGUUGUAAACUAUGGGUACUAGGUGUUCGGGGUGUUGACCCCCUGAGUGCCGACGCUAACGCAUUAAGUACCCCGCCUGGGGACUACGGCCGCAAGGCUAAA
This 332-nucleotide ribosomal RNA is filed under the name uncultured bacterium. RNAcentral describes it as "bacterial SSU rRNA". It matches the Rfam family "Bacterial small subunit ribosomal RNA", at positions 568 to 898 of the family's 1533-position model. The record is from RNAcentral.